GGCAAAUGCACUCUGUGUCACAUUGAAUUCAAACCACAUGUGAUGACAAUUUGUUAGUUUGCCAGAUCAAGGGGUUGCGUCUUAUCCAUGUGGUCAAUGCCUUACCAAGGCGAUUACAUUGAAAACACAACUUACAAUCA
Molecule: non-coding RNA, 140 nt
Organism: Drosophila ficusphila
Lineage: Eukaryota; Metazoa; Arthropoda; Insecta; Diptera; Drosophilidae
Source: Rfam